UACGUAGGUGGCAAGCGUUGUCCGGAUUUAUUGGGUUUAAAGGGUGCGUAGGCGGCCCUGUAAGUCAGUGCUGAAAUAUCCCAGCUUAACUGGGAGGGUGGCAUUGAUACUGCGGGGCUAGAGUACAGAUGAGGUAGGCGGAAUUGACGGUGUAGCGGUGAAAUGCUUAGAUAUCGAGAGGAACACCUGCGGCGAAGGCGGGUAGCUGGGCCGACACUGACGCUGAUGCGCGAAAGCCAGGGGAGCGAACGGG
This 253-nucleotide ribosomal RNA is filed under the name uncultured bacterium. Its description in RNAcentral is "partial 16S ribosomal RNA". It matches the Rfam family "Bacterial small subunit ribosomal RNA", at positions 524 to 776 of the family's 1533-position model. The record is from RNAcentral.